CAGUAGCCGCGGUAAUACGUAGGGUGCAAGCGUUAAUCGGAAUUACUGGGCGUAAAGCGUGCGCAGGCGGUUCGCUAAGACAGAUGUGAAAUCCCCGGGCUUAACCUGGGAACUGCAUUUGUGACUGGCGGGCUAGAGUAUGGCAGAGGGGGGUAGAAUUCCACGUGUAGCAGUGAAAUGCGUAGAGAUGUGGAGGAAUACCGAUGGCGAAGGCAGCCCCCUGGGCCAAUACUGACGCUCAUGCACGAAAGCGUGGGGAGCAAACAGGAUUAGAUACCCCGGUAGUCCCUGUCUCUUAUAU
RNAcentral lists this ribosomal RNA (301 nucleotides) under uncultured bacterium. RNAcentral describes it as "partial 16S ribosomal RNA". It matches the Rfam family "Bacterial small subunit ribosomal RNA", at positions 509 to 809 of the family's 1533-position model. The record is from RNAcentral.